This 695-nucleotide unclassified non-coding RNA is filed under the name Hevea brasiliensis (rubber tree). The record is from RNAcentral. Lineage: Eukaryota; Viridiplantae; Streptophyta; Magnoliopsida; Malpighiales; Euphorbiaceae.
UCCGGUAGUAUCAUCGAAUCAUAAACCGAAAAUACAAGACAACAUUUACAUAAAGCUACAAAUCUAGAACUUCAGCUUUUUGUAAAUUUUGAGAUUUUCCAUUGCGUGAGUGCAGAUUGACCAGGAUAUAACAUUCUUUGAUCGCUUGGUAUCACUUUUGUUCAUAACGUGUCACAUGCUGAUGCAUUCUGUGCUCAAUGAUAGCUUGACAACAUCUUUUGCCUUGAGGCAUACUAGACACUGCUGAUGUCCACUCGGCUCUUAUGAAGCUGAAAAGCUGGGGUAAUCCAACUCCCACAACUGCAUUGGAUACCUGACCAAUUAAAGUAACCCAAGCGAGCUUCACAGUGAGCGCAUAACAGCUUCCCCUCUAAUGCACCUUCCUCAACUGCUGACAUCCACCGUAAAGGUUCAACAAAAAGGGAUGAACACUCAGGCUCAUCAGACUUGUUAAAGGGAUUGCCACUUCUCCUCUUGUUCCAGGCAAAGGAUGUCUCACCUUCCCCUGGAAUGUGAUCCACCACAUUCUCCUGCAAUGCAACAACUCUUCGGCAUUUCUUGCAGCGGUAUGCAGUUGUACGCCUAUUUUCAUCAUUUGGAGAUGGUGAAAUCUCAGAGGAAACACCAGUAGGCAUGCCAGGAUCAGCCCCAAGUUUAGAACUGUCUAUCUUCUCUCCACGGUUAUAAGAAUCACC